RNAcentral lists this transfer-messenger RNA (392 nucleotides) under Bradymonadaceae. RNAcentral describes it as "JACCWM01 sp013697635 Standard tmRNA". It matches the Rfam family "transfer-messenger RNA". From Rfam's summary of the family: Bacterial tmRNA, also known as 10Sa RNA or SsrA, is named for its dual tRNA and mRNA-like properties. Its role is to liberate the mRNA from a stalled ribosome. The record is from RNAcentral. Lineage: Bacteria; Deltaproteobacteria; Bradymonadales. RNAcentral also lists the same sequence under 1 other name.
GGGGGCGCAAAGGCUUCGACGUGGGCACGGAAGCGGAUGUGGCGUGUCGGAGGUGUUCUGGUGACUCCGUAAUAACCACUAGGAAUGCUAUAAUUGCCAACGAUAACGUUGAGCUUGCUCUGGCUGCAUAAAGUAGCACGAGCGGCAGAUGGUUCCUUGCGAACCCCGUCAUAUUGAGCUUUGCCUAUGGGCUUUCUAUGGCGACACACAGUAGGCUUGGCUUGAGGCCCUUCGUACUUCGACCUCCGGCGACAUUAAGAAGAGCACUCUCCAAUCGUGGCCUGUCCGUGGACAGCGAGGAAGGGAGUCUAAACACUAAUCACGGUCUACACACGUAGAAGCGUUCAGCGGAAGGUUUGCGGACGCGGGUUCGAUUCCCGCCGCCUCCAUCC